UCUCAAGUGCAAGGAGCGGGUCCUCACCGUGCAGGCAACUGAGGAAUGAAACCCGGGUGGGGGGUGGGAGUGUUGUUGCUUGUUUGGGUUCCCCUGAAAUGUCAAAAGAGACGGGCAGCUGAGCCUCUCCGGUCUAUCGGGUUCGCUAGUCAGCAAGCGUUUGGAGACAAUUAUCCACCCUAAAACGGCUUCUCACGUGCAUCUCUGGGGUUCAACACAAACCAGCAUGCCCUCAUAUACACACUCAGGCCGGGCGGGUUUAGAUCAUUUUAAACUCAGGAAUUCAUGCGAUUUUUAUACUGGAAAAUAAAUAAAACCACCAUCCCAUUGCAAAUUCUCGUCUUAGUCCACAAAAAACUUCGCACGCAAAAAGAAGGGGAUCCUCCCAGCAGUUCAGAAUUCCACCGCAGCCCCGCCCAAGGGAGGGUAAGGAAAAGGGCAGAGGAAAUACGUUCAGCAGCACUGCGCAGGCUCAAAAGGUCGCGCCGCUAAGGCGGGUUGUGGGCGUCAUCAAUCCCGUCGCCGCGGAUCACGUAGGGUUGUACGCAGUUUCCGGAAGUGCUGGACUUGAGCGGAGGCUCCCCGUUUGGUCCGAUCCGCCCAGGAGAGGCCGGCGAGGACCCUGAGCCGUGGGGAUGGAGAUGACCAGGAGCAUGUGCAAAGUGCGCACUCCUCCUGAGCCCACCCACUUCUGAUGCGGGGCGGGGGGAUAAACGCCUCGAUCCCUCGUUGUUAUCCUUCCUCAGGGUGAUGUAGAUCUUCCGUGUUGAGAUCCAGCACAUCUCUAAAUGUCAGUUGCGGUGGGGCGGGGUGGGGAAGAUACCCGAGGGGAGGCAAGGUUGCAGAGGAAAGCGGCCUCUUGCAGCGCAAGUGAAGAGAGGCCUUGUGGAGCCUUCCCUUCUAUCAUAAGACAUGCAACCAUCUAACCGGAUAAUGCAAACGGACGAAGCACCCGUCUAAAAAGUGAGGCUUACGGGAUCUGUCUUUGGCUGCUGGGCAGCUCUCCAGGCCCUCAGGCGAAGUGCUUGCCUGUCACCUGAUUCUUCUGGUCAGAGAGGCCACAACAGAAAUUCUAAAUGCAGUGCUUCUCCAGCCAAUCCAGUUCCUCAGAGUCUUGAAGAAUGCCAAAAGCCACCACCAAGGGAGGCUGUUCUGAGCCCAGUUCUGGCUUUUCAACAACAAAUCAUCCAGCUUGGAUGAAGAAGCAGAAAAACAGUCUGGAGAACAGAAAAGCCAGCAGUGAAGAGCCUUUGGCAGGGCUUUUUUUCUGGGAAAAGAGGUGGUGGAACUCAGUGGAUGUUUGCCUUCUGAAAGUAACUCAGGAAACAUUCAACUGAAAGUGUCGGAUAAAACGAUGGUAUGGCUUGAUGAGUCCGAAACUAGCCUCCAGCUCUGUGUGCCAAGAGGUUUACACUGCUGAUCAAAAGGAAGAGAUGUGACACAGCUGGAGAUACUUUGGAUGGUGACAAUGGCAGACGUUUUUUGCCCUGCAGAAGCCAGUGGGGGGUCUAUUGUGUGUGUGUGGGGGGGGGGUGAUUUUGCGCUCUUCCUGGGGUCUGCCGGGCAGCGAAGCAUCUUCUUGCUGUUGUUGCUGUUGGCUAAUCAAAAACUGGUCCCAGAUGCAAAACUGGCAGCUGCAACAGAGAUUGUGUCUCUUCCUGUUUGGUAAUCAUAAUUGCAUGGGCAAUUAUGUUUCCUUUUUGAAAUACACUUUACAUAAACCACCAGUGUAUGGGCACUCCGGUUGUGAAAGGGAUCUUGUUUGUCCAACAGUUGCCACUUUCACAUUGGAAAUGACUUAUUUGUCCUCGGUGUCCUCGGUGUCAGCUUUUGUUCUGUGGUGACCUCUGUUCUUGUGCAAGUGGUUUUGCCUGCACCCACUUCUUUUAUGGGGGUGGGUCAGGCUAAGCAAUGUGCAUAGCAGCUAAUGAAUUGGGCCAGUGAGGUCUUGUUGGAUAUAAUGAACAGACAAGGAAAGGGGAGAUUCAGGUUGUCCCAGUGAUCUUGGGCAUUCAGCCUCUCAACUUGGCCUCCCUUGCAAGGUUGUUGUUCAGAUAAAAUGAAGCGGGAGUGUUGGAAGAGGAGGAUCCAGCGCUGUCUCUCUCCUCAGGGUUCAGAGGGUGACAAACCAAAUAGAAAGAUAGAGAGGUCAGGGCACCAUGUUUACUGUUCACUAUUGUUUACUGCUCUGACUGUCCUUUAAUAUACAGAUCGCUGUUUUCAGGAUUUCCUCCUCCUGACUUCCUCCCUCUCCCUCCUUCUCUUCCUGGCUUUGUUCCAGGCAAGACCUCUCUCCCUCUCCUCCCUCCAUCUUGGCAGCAUGGGUGCAGGCCUUGCCCUCCUUUCCUGUCAGAGUAUGGAGUUCCUGCAAUAAAGAACUCUUAUUUCUUUUCCAAAUAUAAACCAAGUGUAUGCUUUUAUUAUUUUCAUUCCUGCGCACACACCAGCCAGCAGAAUGAGCUCACAGCCACCUAUAAUCACACUUCCUAUGCCACAUGAUAGACUCUGCUAACGGCCCAAACAUGGAAUCCUUUAAUUAGGUUUCUGAGGCCUACGUAACGAUUUAUUUAUCAGGGAGAACUACCCUGAGGUUCUUAGAAGAAAGGCCAACAAAAAUGUAAUGGAUCAAAGAGGCUGAUGAUGUUUCCGGAGCGACUUCUUGUUCUUGGUGAAUAUUCGACCACUGAGCUCCAGACAGGAGCUCCUUUAGAAGAAGUCCAGGACUGUGGGAUUCGGUGGCAAUCUUGGCUAUGCUGAGUUCACUUAAACCCAGCAACCGCCUUGCUUUUCCAAAAUGUGCCUACAUAAGUCAGCCCCCCCCCCCAUAUCUCUCAUUCAUUUAGGCUGUGGUGCUUGAAUCUUGGCCAAGAAGCAGAGAUCUGUGAUCAUCAACAGGAAGUAGAACCUCACUCCUCAAAUUAGCCCAAAUUAACAAACAGGUCUAAUGAAGUCAGGAGCUGAACCAUGCCUGACUCUUCAGCACAACUCGAGGUUGUGUUUUUCAGGUUUCCGUGGGGUUCCAGUUCCGCCCAGCCUGGAUUUCCAUCUCCCUCGCUCAUCAACUAGUCCAGCUAGUUCAUUACAUCUCUCCAUUCUGAAAACCAGAGAGCGUUUUACAACAAUACAGUCUGGUGCCUGAGAUGCUCUCUGCAUUAUACACGUGUUCAUCACUAGAAUUUAAUGUCUGUAUGAAGCCAUUGGGAGAGGUCCUCAGGAGGUUUGGGCUGCGGUGUCACCGAUAUGCAGAUGCUACCGGGCUCUACCUUUCUUUUACACCCAAUUCUGAGGAUGCCUUUGAUGUUCUGGACCAGCGCGAGGAGUUGGCGAUGGGCUGGAUGAGGGUGAACAAGCUGGAACUGAAUCCUGACAAGACUGAAGUUCUCGGCGUUGGUAGAAAGGCAGGCCAGGGACUUGAGACGUUUCCUGUCUCGGACAGGGUAAUACUCCCCUUGAAAAGUCAGGUUCGCAGCUGUGUUGAGCAGCGCUGCUCAACACAGUCGCUUCAAAAACUAGGUGGCAGCUGUGGCUCAGAGUGCUUUUGCCCAGCUUUAUCUGAUGCACCAGCUGCACCCAUUCCUGGCUCAGUCAGAUCUCGCCACAGUGAUCCAUGCCUUAGUUGCCAUUAGAUUGGACAACUGUAAUGCACUCUAUUUAUGGCUACUCUUGAAGAGGGCUUGGAAGCCCUCAGCUAGUGCAGAACGCUGUGGCGAGACUGCUGGUUGGGGCCAACUAUUAGGGGCACGUGACCCCAAUAUUACAGCAAUUACAGUGCAAUUCAAGGUGUUGGUUUUGACCUUUACAGCCCUACGUGACUUGGGACCUGAGUAUGUGACAGCCCAUCUUCUCCCAUAAUGUUUCUGCCUGAGAACGAAGAUCACAGAGAGAGGCUCUUCUAUCUGUUCCAUCAGAUAAAGAAGCUCACCUGGUGGGUAUACAAGAGAGAGCCUUUUUUGUGGCAGUGCCACGAUUAAGGAACAGCCUCCAAGAUAGGGGUACCUGGCCCCCUCACUGCGCACAUUCAGGGGCCAGCUGAAGACAUUUUUAUUUUGGACUGAUGGCAAUUAAAUUUGGUUCUGUGUUUUAUUGGCAAUCUUAAACUCUUUUUAAACACGUUUUAUGAUUGUUGCUUUAUUUAAAUUGUAAGCCGCCUUGAGUUCCUGCAAAAU
This is a long non-coding RNA of Eublepharis macularius, 4166 nucleotides long. RefSeq lists it as uncharacterized. The transcript has 4 exons. The record is from RefSeq and is a predicted model, not a curated record. Lineage: Eukaryota; Metazoa; Chordata; Lepidosauria; Squamata; Eublepharidae.